RNAcentral lists this ribosomal RNA (292 nucleotides) under uncultured bacterium. RNAcentral describes it as "partial 16S ribosomal RNA". It matches the Rfam family "Bacterial small subunit ribosomal RNA", at positions 505 to 796 of the family's 1533-position model. The record is from RNAcentral.
GUGUCAGCCGCCGCGGUAAUACAGAGGUGCCAAGCGUUAGGCGGAAUCACUGGGCUUAAAGCGCGCGUAGGCGGAUGUUUAAGUGUCUUGUGAAAUCCCACGGCUCAACCGUGGAACUGCUGGGCAUACUGGACAUCUCGAGGCACUCAGGGGCGAGCGGAACAAGUGGUGGAGCGGUGAAAUGCGUAGAUAUCACUUGGAACGCCAAUGGUGAAGACAGCUCGCUGGGGGUGUCCUGACGCUGAGGCGCGAAAGCCAGGGGAGCGAACGGGAUUAGAAACCCGCGUAGUCC